GACGAACGCUGGCGGCGUGCUUAACACAUGCAAGUCGAACGGAAAGGCCCUGCUUUUGUGGGGUGCUCGAGUGGCGAACGGGUGAGUAACACGUGAGUAACCUGCCCUUGACUUUGGGAUAACUUCAGGAAACUGGGGCUAAUACCGGAUAGGAGCUCCUGCUGCAGGGUGGGGGUUGGAAAGUUUCGGCGGUUGGGGAUGGAUUCGCGGCUUAUCAGCUUGUUGGUGGGGUAGUGGCUUACCAAGGCUUUGACGGGUAGCCGGCCUGAGCGGGUGACCGGCCACAUUGGGACUGAGAUGCGGCCCAGACUCCUCCGGGAGGCAGCAGUGCGGAAUAUUGCACUGUGGGCGGCAGCCUGAUGCAGCAACGCCGCGUGCGGGAUGACGGCCUUCGGGUUGUAAACCGCUUUCGCCUGUGACGAUGCGUGAGUGACGGUAAUGGGUAAAGAAGCUCCGGCUAACUACGUG
This 468-nucleotide ribosomal RNA is filed under the name uncultured bacterium. RNAcentral's name for it is "partial 16S ribosomal RNA". It matches the Rfam family "Bacterial small subunit ribosomal RNA", at positions 28 to 507 of the family's 1533-position model. The record is from RNAcentral.